RNAcentral lists this ribosomal RNA (234 nucleotides) under uncultured bacterium. Its description in RNAcentral is "partial 16S ribosomal RNA". It matches the Rfam family "Bacterial small subunit ribosomal RNA", at positions 96 to 334 of the family's 1533-position model. The record is from RNAcentral.
CGGCGAACGGGUGAGUAACACGUGGAUUAUCUGCCCUGAGGUGGGGGAUAACCCGGGGAAACUCGGGCUAGUACCGCAUGAUACCGAGAGGUCAAAGGGGGCUCGCAAGGGCUCUCGCCAUAGGAGGAGUCCGCGUCCGAUUAGCUAGUUGGUAGGGUAAUGGCCUACCAAGGCGACGAUCGGUAGCCGGCCUGAGAGGGUGAUCGGCCACACUGGAACUGAGACACGGUCCAG